AUGCCAACGCUCUACAGAAUUAGUGCAACUGCCCGCAGCACAAAUCACGGGCACACGCACCUUUCUGAGAAGCACGGCCUCGGGGAACGGCCCGGUGACCUCGCCGGCCUUGGGGUUGAAGCUGUGCGCGUCCACCCUCUCCUCCCCCGCCUCCCCGUCCUGCCGCCCCCUCUUCUUCCUGGCCCCCGCGACCACGAACCGGCGCCUCCCCACGCCAAGGGCGAGCCGCACCGUGCUGACCAGCGGCGGCGAAGGCGCCAGGAGGAAGAGAGGCCGCGUCGACGCGGCGGUGGCCUCCAUGAGCGACGGUUGUCGGUGAGAAGAGGAGAGGAGGAAGGUUCUCGCGGGGGUUUUGGUUUGGGGACGCGGAGCGAAACGAAACGUGGGCAGAUAAGGUAG
RNAcentral lists this ribosomal RNA (399 nucleotides) under Triticum aestivum (bread wheat). Its description in RNAcentral is "partial small subunit ribosomal RNA". Lineage: Eukaryota; Viridiplantae; Streptophyta; Magnoliopsida; Poales; Poaceae. The record is from RNAcentral.